UCCGGUUUGUCACCGGCAGUCUCCCUAGAGUUCCCGGCCGAACCGCUGGCAACUAGGGACAAGGGUUGCGCUCGUUGCGGGACUUAACCCAACAUCUCACGACACGAACUGACGACAGCCAUGCAGCACCUGUGAUGGUGUCCCGAAGGCACUCCCGCAUCUCUGCGGGAUUCCGAGGAUGUCAAAGGCAGGUAAGGUUCUUCGCGUUGCAUCGAAUUAAUCCGCAUGCUCCGCCGCUUGUGCGGGCCCCCGUCAAUUCCUUUGAGUUUUAGCCUUGCGGCCGUAGUCCCCAGGCGGAGUACUUAAUGCGUUAGCGACGGCACCGAGGGGGUCGAUACCCCCGACACCUAGUACUCAUCGUUUACGGCGUGGACUAC
RNAcentral lists this unclassified non-coding RNA (377 nucleotides) under uncultured bacterium. RNAcentral's name for it is "contains 16S-23S intergenic spacer region". The record is from RNAcentral.